This 660-nucleotide ribosomal RNA is filed under the name Alcaligenes faecalis. RNAcentral describes it as "bacterial SSU rRNA". It matches the Rfam family "Bacterial small subunit ribosomal RNA", at positions 46 to 698 of the family's 1533-position model. RNAcentral also lists the same sequence under 1 other name. The record is from RNAcentral. Lineage: Bacteria; Pseudomonadati; Pseudomonadota; Betaproteobacteria; Burkholderiales; Alcaligenaceae.
GCUUUAACAUGCAGUCGACGGCAGCGCGAGAGAGCUUGCUCUCUUGGCGGCGAGUGGCGGACGGGUGAGUAAUAUAUCGGAACGUGCCCAGUAGCGGGGGAUAACUACUCGAAAGAGUGGCUAAUACCGCAUACGCCCUACGGGGGAAAGGGGGGGAUCGCAAGACCUCUCACUAUUGGAGCGGCCGAUAUCGGAUUAGCUAGUUGGUGGGGUAAAGGCUCACCAAGGCAACGAUCCGUAGCUGGUUUGAGAGGACGACCAGCCACACUGGGACUGAGACACGGCCCAGACUCCUACGGGAGGCAGCAGUGGGGAAUUUUGGACAAUGGGGGAAACCCUGAUCCAGCCAUCCCGCGUGUAUGAUGAAGGCCUUCGGGUUGUAAAGUACUUUUGGCAGAGAAGAAAAGGUAUCUCCUAAUACGAGAUACUGCUGACGGUAUCUGCAGAAUAAGCACCGGCUAACUACGUGCCAGCAGCCGCGGUAAUACGUAGGGUGCAAGCGUUAAUCGGAAUUACUGGGCGUAAAGCGUGUGUAGGCGGUUCGGAAAGAAAGAUGUGAAAUCCCAGGGCUCAACCUUGGAACUGCAUUUUUAACUGCCGAGCUAGAGUAUGUCAGAGGGGGGUAGAAUUCCACGUGUAGCAGUGAAAUGCGUAGAUAUG